UAGGAUUAUUUUUUAUGCCAGUGGAUCAUGUCUGUGCUCCAACAAUCGAGCGUUAUCUGUAAUGUUGAAAACGACAAACAAAUGUAGUUUAAAUUGUUGCAAAGGAAUACAAUGACUUGUGAACACUAAGCAGUGAUGCUACCUCAACAGACCUGAUGUGCACUUUUCAGGGAUAAAACAGGACACAUUUUUCUUAACAAAAUAGAGAAUUGCCUACUGCAUCCCAGAACACUACUGUUAAGAGUGAUGCAAAUAAUUGGCAUAAUGUACAUCUGUAUUUAAUGCUUUCCACUUGUGAUCCAUUUCUGUAAACACGGUCUUAUAAGCAAAGGGAUUGGGGUUACUUUACUACGAGUAGUACAGAUCAUUUAUUUUGUGUAAAAGUAAUGAUAGGCAUUAAUAGUGUUAGAUUAGGGCAGGAUGGUUUAAUUGUUUUGUUUUUUCACCUAUGUGAUAUAUUAUCUUUUUUUUGCAUUUGGGAUUAUUUAUUAUUUUCUGAACAGUCAUACAGUCGCUUCUGUUCAUUUAAUUUCUGCUUUGUAUUGGUAUAUACUGUAUACCUGGCUGAGCUUCGGAACCCAGAGGACAUACAGUUUCAAAGUCAUUGAAUGCAUUACUGUUAAAGCAUCUUUUGUCAUUAAAAGCAGUACCAAUGUGAGUAUCUAUCUUAUUUUCCUUCUUUGCACUUUAAAUAUGACGGUGGCAUUUGUCCUGCCUGUGCAGCCUGUUGACCAGAGCAUGUUGACACUUUUUUUGCAAGACCUGUGUAAACUACAAACACUCUAAAUGUAAGAAGUCUGACUGUCAGAAACACUCUUGUGAGAUGAGAUUAUAUGAGCCUCCAGAAUGGGUUCUGGAUGAAAAAGUACUCUUAUUAAUGGUAUAUAAACUGCAUAACACUGUUAAUUUAUGGUCCUGCUUUGUUUUACCUACACAGCCUGCUGAUGGAGAAAUACCUGGAAUAAAGCUUGUUGCUGCUCAUCUACCUUUUUCAUCGUUGAGGCCUGAUCAAACUCAUCUAUUUUCACCUGUGGUGCAGACCUUCAGGAACAGAUUCCACCUGUUGGAGCUUGCUCGAGCUCAUCCAUCUUCACCUGUAUCCCACACUUCCAAGACCAAUCCGAACUACAAAAACCACUGCUGCUAGAACUUUGACUGUCCAUGAUGGUCUUGUGAGAUCACUUUCCUUAAUUUUUUAAAGGUGCGUUAUCAGUGUUCAUGCACAUUUUGGGCUUGUUUGUGCUUUUGUUAAUACACUAUACAUUCCCACUAUGUACUUUUCCGUUCUAAUUCACUAUUCUGUCUGUUCUAGUGUGUUGCGGUGACUGGAUUGGUUGCCUGGACUCUCCUCAUGGUUAACCCGCCAGCACCACAUCACCAUUUUAUGUUUUAAUUGUUUUUUUGUUUUACAUUUGUUUUGUUUUGUUUGUUUUUUAGCACUUUGGUGACCAAUUUAAUAUGAUGUGCAUGUAUUUACCUGUAUGUCAAUUAUGGCACCCACUCCUGACCAUCCCUAGAAGAAGGGAUCCCCUACUAUGCGUUUCUUCUCAAGAUUUCUUCCUUGCUUAUUUCAAGGGAGUUUUUUCUUGCCCUUGUAGGGGCUUGGGUAAAGGGGGGUGUCAUAAAUAUUUUACCUGUUAAGCCCUUUGUAAUGGUGAUUAAGGGCUAUACAAAUAAACUUGAAUUGAAUUGUUGUUCCUUAAGAUUCCAUUAGUUUGUAUAGUAUCUACGAUAUCAUGUCACAAGAUGGAUAAGACAACAUAACAAUGUUGUA
Molecule: long non-coding RNA, 1774 nt
Filed under: Gadus morhua (Atlantic cod)
Lineage: Eukaryota; Metazoa; Chordata; Actinopteri; Gadiformes; Gadidae
Description: lncRNA (ENSGMOG00000026019.1)
Source: RNAcentral